RNAcentral lists this non-coding RNA (23 nucleotides) under Arabidopsis thaliana (thale cress). Lineage: Eukaryota; Viridiplantae; Streptophyta; Magnoliopsida; Brassicales; Brassicaceae. The record is from RNAcentral.
GCGAUCGGUUGCCAACGUCUUUU